This 249-nucleotide long non-coding RNA is filed under the name Mytilus galloprovincialis (Mediterranean mussel). The record is from RNAcentral. Lineage: Eukaryota; Metazoa; Mollusca; Bivalvia; Mytilida; Mytilidae.
CGCAUGUCAGGAGCCUGUAAUUCAGUGGUUGUCUUUUGUUGCUGUGUUACAUAUUUGUUUUUUGUUUCAUUAUUUUGUACAUGAAUUAGGCCAUUGGUUUUCUAGUUUUAAUUGUUUUUACAUUUGCAAUUUCAGGGCCUUUUAAAGCAGGCUAUGCGGUAUGGGUUUUGCUCAUUGUUGAAGGCCAUAUGCUUACCAAUACAUGUAGUGGCUAAUUUCUAUUUCUCGUGAAGUUUUAUUUCAUUGGCA